GACGAACGCUGGCGGCGUGCUUAACACAUGCAAGUCGAGCGGUAAGGCCCUUUCGGGGGUACACGAGCGGCGAACGGGUGAGUAACACGUGGGUGACCUGCCUUUAGCUCUGGGAUAAGCCUGGGAAACCGGGUCUAAUACUGGAUAUGACUCCAUGACGCAUGUUGUGGGGUGGAAAGCCUUGUGCGGCUAGAGAUGGGCCCGCGGCCUAUCAGCUUGUUGGUGGGGUGAUGGCCACCAAGGCGACGACGGGUAGCCGGCCUGAGAGGGCGACCGGCCACACUGGGACUGAGACACGGCCCAGACUCCUACGGGAGGCAGCAGUGGGGAAUCUUGCGCAAUGGGCGAAAGCCUGACGCAGCGACGCCGCGUGAGGGAUGACGGCCUGUGU
This 391-nucleotide ribosomal RNA is filed under the name uncultured bacterium. RNAcentral's name for it is "bacterial SSU rRNA". It matches the Rfam family "Bacterial small subunit ribosomal RNA", at positions 28 to 421 of the family's 1533-position model. The record is from RNAcentral.